Molecule: ribosomal RNA, 494 nt
Filed under: uncultured bacterium
Lineage: Bacteria
Description: partial 16S ribosomal RNA
Rfam family: Bacterial small subunit ribosomal RNA
Source: RNAcentral
GACGAACGCUGGCGGCGUGCUUAACACAUGCAAGUCGAACGGUGAAGCGCCUUCCUUUUUGGUGGGUGUGGAUGAGUGGCGAACGGGUGAGUAACACGUGAGUAACCUGCCCCCUUCUUCUGGAUAACCGCAUGAAAGGGUGGCUAAUACGGGAUAUUCUGGGUCUGUCGCAUGAUGGGUCUGGGAAAGAUAUUGUUUCGGUGGGGGAUGGGCUCGCGGCCAAUCAGCUUGUUGGUGGGGUGAUGGCCUACCAAGGCGGUGACGGGUAGCCGGCAUGAACGGGUGGACGGUCACACUGGGACUGAGACACGGCCCAGACUCCUACGGGAGGCAGCAGUGGGGAAUAUUGCACAAUGGGCGCAAGCCUGAUGCAGCGACGCCGCGUGAGGGAUGGAGGCCUUCGGGUUGUGAACCUCUUUCGCCAGUGAAGCAGGCCUGCCUCGUUUGUGGGUGGGUUGACGGUAGCUGGAUAAGAAGCGCCGGCUAACUACGUG